This 2031-nucleotide long non-coding RNA is filed under the name Prunus persica (peach). Its description in RNAcentral is "long non-coding RNA (PPER_LNC007364)". Lineage: Eukaryota; Viridiplantae; Streptophyta; Magnoliopsida; Rosales; Rosaceae. The record is from RNAcentral.
GACAGCGCUCGUGUGAUUGGGCGAUUAGGUAUAGGGACUUGGUAUGUAGUUUUCUUCUUACGGCCACCUAUGGCUGCAGCAAUAUUUAGAAGGCUCAAUUGGGAUAAUAAUUAGACGAUAAGAGUUGGUUCGAGGGAACCCAAAACCUCCAGGUUAGACAAGUUAACAGUAAGGGAUAAUAUCUGAUAUCUCAUUAAUGACAAGCCACUGAAAUUUAUACAAACAAGGACUCUAACUGAAAGCUUAGAAAGGAGGAAACUUUUCCCAUGACACCCACUAUAGAAGUGAAUAACAUGACUCCUAAAACUACUCAACAACUAAAGACAUGCAAACUCCUACAAUUAUGCAACAACUAAUAACCAUGUAACCAUCUCCACUAACUCAUGAGAGAGCACGUGACAUUCCUUCCCCCAUCGAAAAAACCUUGUCCUCAAGGUUGACAUCUGGAAAUCUGAGUUGCAGCUCCUUCAAAUUUUCCCAAGUUGCAUCUGCUGGAGACAAGCCUUUCCAAUGUACCAAGACUUCUUCCUGAUUCUUCCUUUUUCGUUGUCCAAGGAUGGCUUGUGGCAUGAGAAAAAGAGUAUCCUUUCCAUAUGAAAGUGCAGGCAAAGAGUCUUGGACUGCCACGUUAGUGCCCACCUUCUUUUUGAGCAAUGACACGUGAAAGAUUGGAUGAAUUCUGGACCCCUCAGGAAGCUUCAAUUUAUAAGCCACUUGUCCCAUCCUCUGGAGAAUUUCAUAUGGCCCAAAGAAUCUUGGUGAUAACUUCAGAUCACGUGACACUUUCUCUCUAAUUGCCAGGACCCAGCACUCAUCGCCCGCUUAUGCUCCUUCCACUUUAGUUGGUCCUGGUUUUUUUGUUUUUUUUAACGAAGCGAUAUCGUUGAAACAAAAAACUCAGUACAAUAAAUCUUUCACCAAAGCAUCCAUACAUCUUCCACAAUACAUUUUAGGCUAAUUGAAGACUGCAAUUCGCCCCUGGCUCUAAUGGCCAACAAAGUGGCCCAUUUAUAGAAUGGCACAAUUGUCUGUCAGAAGCAUCCAAUUGGUUGCUGAUUUCACCAUCUUCAGACAAGGGGAUUUGCUAGUGAUGCAGCAAAUGCUAGCAGAUAUUGAAAAGAAAGCUUGGAGUGCCGCACCAAGUAAGAAAAUAAGAAGUGGUGACGACAUUUAAAAAUAAAACAAAAGAAAGACGAGCCGCCAGCACCAAAGAAGAAAUAACAACUGGAGUCAAGGUGGCAUUGAGUAAACAAUGGAAAGUUGGCAAAUAAAAAAAAUAGGCUAAACUAUACCCGAGUUACAUUUUCGUCAUUGAACUUCAAAAAUAGUAGUUGUCGUCCUCAAAUUAGACCACGUGUUCCACUACUGGCCAUUUUCAUCAAUUCCGUCAACUUUUCCAUUAAUUUCAUAAGUUCGGAAAUUCACUCCAAAUGUUUAGGAAAAUAAUAAACUAAUAAAAAUUAUUAAGAAAAAGAAUUAAAUAUUAAAAAAGACCACCGAUUGAUUGGCUCUUCUCCCUGCCCCAACCCAGCCCUUGCACCUUUGGUAACCCACCAUUCUAAUCCAUGGUUGGAAGAGGCGGAAUUGUUGAUAUUAUGACGAGAGAGAGAGGGAGAGAGAGAGAGAGAGAGAGAGACAGAGAGAGAGAGAGAGAGAGAGAGAGAGGCAGUGGUGGUGGUCGAUGGUCGUUUGGCAAUGGCCGUGACUAGUGGUGGAUUCAGGAUUUAAAAUCCAACUGAGCAAAAAUUACAUUAAAAACUCGAGGUUAUCAGUGAAUCUCAUUAAUACAUAAAAAUAUACAUCUAGUAGGAGGACAUAAUGAGCCUUACUCUCAAAUGCAUCUCUAUACAUAAAUAAAAGUAUAGCAAAAAAAAACUAUUCUUUUUCUUUAAAAAAAAUUUCCAACAAAUUCUUUAUUUUCUUGGGGUUUGGAUUGUGAUCUGACAUAACAAAAGAUAACCUAUUUAAUCCAACAUCCCAACAAAAAAAUCAAAUAAAUUCUCAUAAUAACAUCAAUGCCUUUAAUCAAAC